GGAUGCGAUCAUACCAGCACUAAAGCACCGGAUCCCAUCAAAACUCCGAAGUUAAGCGUGCUUGGGUGAGAGUAGUACUAGGAUGGGUGACCUCCUGGGAAGUCCUCCUGUUGCAUUCC
This 119-nucleotide ribosomal RNA is filed under the name Triticum aestivum (bread wheat). The record is from RNAcentral. Lineage: Eukaryota; Viridiplantae; Streptophyta; Magnoliopsida; Poales; Poaceae.